This 842-nucleotide long non-coding RNA is filed under the name Malus domestica (apple). Its description in RNAcentral is "long non-coding RNA (MDOM_LNC007144)". Lineage: Eukaryota; Viridiplantae; Streptophyta; Magnoliopsida; Rosales; Rosaceae. The record is from RNAcentral.
GUUUCCACUAAUCAGCCUGAGUGGAUGCAAGAUAACACCAUUCUCUAUAGCUCAGAUCGCAAAGUCUUCUUCAUGAAAGUUGUUCCUUAUCUUGUGAACUACAACAUCUCCAAAUUUGAGAUCCAUCGGAGUAGUACAACUCCAGAAAUGCAGGUAUGAUGAGUAACUGUUCAUCAAUUUUCUGUUAACCCGUCAGACUUGUUGUGAGCUUCUAAACUCCAUUUUUUCUUGUUCAUCUCAACAUACUUUCUUCAUCGAAGUUGUUCCUUACCUUGUCAGCUACAACAUAUCCAAAUUUGAGAUCCAUCGGAGCAGUACAAAUCCAGAAAUUCAGGUAUGAUGAGUGACUGUUCAUCAUUUUUCUGUCAACCUGUCAGACUUGUUGUGAGCUUCGAAACUCCAUUUUCUCUUGCUCAGAUCAACAUACUUUCUUCAUCGAAGUUGUUCCUUAACUUGUGAACUACAACAUAUCCAAAAUUGAGAUCCCUCGGAGCUGUAUAACUCAAGAAAUGCAGGUAUGAUGAAUGACUGGUUAUGAUUUUUCUGUCAACCCGUCAGAUUUGUUGUGAGCUUUGAAACUCUAUUUUCUCUUGCUCAGAUCAGCAUGCUUUCUUCAUUGAAGUUGUUCCUCAGCUUGUGAACUACAACAUAUCCAAAUUUGAGAUCCCUCGGAGCUGUAUAACUCAAGAAAUUCAGGUAUGAUGAAUGACUGGUUAUUGAUUUUUUCUGUCAACCCGUCAGAUUUGUUGUGAGCUUUGAAACUCUACUUUCUCUUGCUCAGAUCAGCAUGCUUUCUUCAUUGAAGUUGUUCCUCAGCUUGUGAACUACAACAUAUCCAAAUU